RNAcentral lists this ribosomal RNA (478 nucleotides) under uncultured bacterium. Its description in RNAcentral is "partial 16S ribosomal RNA". It matches the Rfam family "Bacterial small subunit ribosomal RNA", at positions 28 to 507 of the family's 1533-position model. The record is from RNAcentral.
GACGAACGCUGGCGGCGUGCUUAACACAUGCGAGUCGAACGGGAUUUAGUAAACAGAAGCCUCGGUGGAAGAUUACUAAUGAGGGUGGCGAACGGGUGAGUAACGCGUGAGCAACCUGCCUAUGACAGUGGGAUAGCCUCGGGAAACCGGGAUUAAUACCGCAUAAAAUCGUAGAAACACAUGUUUUAACGGUCAAAGAUUUAUCGGUCAUAGAUGGGCUCGCGUCUGAUUAGCUAGUUGGUGAGAUAACAGCCCACCAAGGCGACGAUCAGUAGCCGGUCUGAGAGGAUGAACGGCCACAUUGGAACUGAGACACGGUCCAAACUCCUACGGGAGGCAGCAGUGGGGAAUAUUGCACAAUGGGGGAAACCCUGAUGCAGCGACGCCGCGUGAACGAAGAAGGUAUUCGUAUCGUAAAGUUCUGUCCUAUGGGAAGAUAAUGACAGUACCAUAGAAGAAAGCUCCGGCUAAAUACGUG